UGCUACACAUGCAGUCGACGAUGAAGCCCAGCUUGCUGGGUGGAUUAGUGGCGAACGGGUGAGUAACACGUGAGUAACCUGCCCUUAACUCUGGGAUAAGCCUGGGAAACUGGGUCUAAUACCGGAUAGGAGCGCCUACCGCAUGGUGGGUGUUGGAAAGAUUUAUCGGUUUUGGAUGGACUCGCGGCCUAUCAGCUUGUUGGUGAGGUAAUGGCUCACCAAGGCGACGACGGGUAGCCGGCCUGAGAGGGUGACCGGCCACACUGGGACUGAGACACGGCCCAGACUCCUACGGGAGGCAGCAGUGGGGAAUAUUGCACAAUGGGCGAAAGCCUGAUGCAGCGACGCCGCGUGAGGGAUGACGGCCUUCGGGUUGUAAACCUCUUUCAGUAGGGAAGAAGCGAAAGUGACGGUACCUGCAGAAGAAGCACCGGCUAACUACGUGCCAGCAGCCGCGGUAAUACGUAGGGUGCGAGCGUUAUCCGGAAUUAUUGGGCGUAAAGAGCUCGUAGGCGGUUUGUCGCGUCUGUCGUGAAAGUCCGGGGCUUAACCCCGGAUCUGCGGUGGGUACGGGCAGACUAGAGUGCAGUAGGGGAGACUGGAAUUCCUGGUGUAGCGGUGGAAUGCGCAGAUAUCAGGAGGAACACCGAUGGCGAAGGCAGGUCUCUGGGCUGUAACUGACGCUGAGGAGCGAAAGCAUGGGGAGCGAACAGGAUUAGAUACCCUGGUAGUCCAUGCCGUAAACGUUGGGCACUAGGUGUGGGGACCAUUCCACGGUUUCCGCGCCGCAGCUAACGCAUUAAGUGCCCCGCCUGGGGAGUACGGCCGCAAGGUAAAUAG
Molecule: ribosomal RNA, 840 nt
Filed under: Micrococcus sp. 19-5pA
Lineage: Bacteria; Bacillati; Actinomycetota; Actinomycetes; Micrococcales; Micrococcaceae
Description: bacterial SSU rRNA
Rfam family: Bacterial small subunit ribosomal RNA
Source: RNAcentral